Molecule: non-coding RNA, 210 nt
Organism: Cinara cedri
Lineage: Eukaryota; Metazoa; Arthropoda; Insecta; Hemiptera; Aphididae
Source: the annotation of a GenBank genome assembly
UAACUGGGGAGAGGGGGUUAAAUACGUCUAACUACUAUAAUUAUACUCAGCUGGACAUUUUUUAGAUUUUGAAGAAUUCCAGAAAUUUUUUAGAACUUAACCAUUUCACGUUUGACGUUUUCAACUUUCAUGGAAGAAUCGCACGAUUGGCUUUUCGAUGACGAACGAAUUAUGGGUCGUUAUAACUGUGUUCAUUCAUUAUGACGUGUU